Molecule: transfer RNA, 89 nt
Filed under: Clostridia bacterium
Lineage: Bacteria; Bacillati; Bacillota; Clostridia
Also listed under: 1 other name
Description: tRNA-Ser
Rfam family: tRNA
About the family: Transfer RNA (tRNA) molecules are approximately 80 nucleotides in length. Their secondary structure includes four short double-helical elements and three loops (D, anti-codon, and T loops). Further hydrogen bonds mediate the characteristic L-shaped molecular structure. tRNAs have two regions of fundamental functional importance: the anti-codon, which is responsible for specific mRNA codon recognition, and the 3' end, to which the tRNAs corresponding amino acid is attached (by aminoacyl-tRNA synthetases). tRNAs cope with the degeneracy of the genetic code in two manners: having more than one tRNA (with a specific anti-codon) for a particular amino acid; and 'wobble' base-pairing, i.e. permitting non-standard base-pairing at the 3rd anti-codon position.
Source: RNAcentral
GGAGAGAUGGCCGAGUGGUUUAAGGCGCCGGUCUUGAAAACCGGUGAUGUCGCAAGGCACCGGGGGUUCGAAUCCCUCUCUCUCCGCCA